This is a non-coding RNA of Paramuricea clavata, 443 nucleotides long. NCBI's taxonomy places the organism in Eukaryota, Metazoa, Cnidaria, Anthozoa, Malacalcyonacea, Plexauridae. The record is from the annotation of a GenBank genome assembly.
UUUAAUUAUAAAGUUACCUUAUAUUUUACAUUACCAGAAUAUCAGUAUUAAAGUAUUUUUCACCUUUUUACCGCACUUUUAUAUAUACGAUCAACUAAAAAGUUACUGAAAUUACGACCGAUGUUGUUUAAGAAGGGACUUUCCCAAGGAAAAUUUCCUCGAAUAUUCUUGAAAUACAUAGGCAGCGUUUACACUGUACCGUUUUCGUAGCGUUCUCGUAUUGUUCUUAAUCCUCAAGGGAACGCAAGACAAUAGUCUAGUUCUCUCGAACAAUACGAGAACGCUACGAAAACGGUACAGUGUAAACGCUGCCAUAGUGUAUCAAAAAAGAAACUGAACAGAUUUGAAAUUGCUCUCCGCAAUUUCGCAAAACAGCUAUUAGUAUCCAGUUUUUGAUAUACAGGGUGUAUAAAAAAAAACUGAACAGAUUUGAAAUUCCUCUC